This 627-nucleotide long non-coding RNA is filed under the name Capsicum annuum. RNAcentral describes it as "long non-coding RNA (CANN_LNC007399)". Lineage: Eukaryota; Viridiplantae; Streptophyta; Magnoliopsida; Solanales; Solanaceae. The record is from RNAcentral.
UUCAUUGAAUUGCGAUAGCGAACCAUGCAAGAACACUUAGCAGUAACAUUCAUAUCUCUCUCUCACUCGUGUUCUUCCUUGUCCAAAGUCUUUGAUAGAUUUGUUCUAAAUGCAUUUCGGUCUGAACUUACCAGUAUUACAUUGUGAAGACCACUUUUACUCUUUUAUUUAAGAGUACAUACAGUUGGGCAUUCCCAUACGUCAUCACCAGGGGCGGUUCUAGGAGGUCGGGAGGGUGUUCUCCCGAACCCCUUUGGCAAAAAAUUAUUCUGUAUAUAGAAGGUAAUGCAAACAGUAGCAGAGAGACCAAUUGUGAAGUCACGUGGCUUUCAGUAGCUAUAUCACUUUAUUAGAGCUAUUAGUAUCGGUUUCAAAACCUCCUGGUAACGUAGAACCGGCUGUGAAGGUCACUGUCAUUAGUAGAGCUGCCACAACUAAAUGUAUUUGAGCUGCCUUCAUAAUAUUUUCGACUAUUCUUUCUUCUCGCCAAGCUCUAUCCUCUUGAUUACCCUCCAACUCCGUCUGUGGUACCACCACCAUCAUCCCUCCUAUCACAGACAGAAUGCGCGAGAAGAAUGCACAUGUCCACCGCGCACAGCGAAUUCUUCGAUCAUUUUUUAGGAAAUU